RNAcentral lists this ribosomal RNA (433 nucleotides) under uncultured bacterium. RNAcentral describes it as "partial 16S ribosomal RNA". It matches the Rfam family "Bacterial small subunit ribosomal RNA", at positions 29 to 507 of the family's 1533-position model. The record is from RNAcentral.
AACGAACGCUGGCGGCAUGCCUAACACAUGCAAGUCGAACGAGACCUUCGGGUCUAGUGGCGCACGGGUGCGUAACGCGUGGGAACCUGCCCUUAGGUUCGGAAUAACUCCCCGAAAGGGGUGCUAAUACCGGAUAAUGUCUUCGGACCAAAGAUUUAUCGCCUUUGGAUGGGCCCGCGUUGGAUUAGCUAGUUGGUAGGGUAAAAGCCUACCAAGGCGACGAUCCAUAGCUGGUCUGAGAGGAUGAUCAGCCACACUGGGACUGAGACACGGCCCAGACUCCUACGGGAGGCAGCAGUGGGGAAUAGUGGACAAUGGGCGAAAGCCUGAGCCAGCAAUGCCGCGUGAGUGAUGAAGGCCUUAGGGUUGUAAAGCUCUUUUACCCGGGAUGAUAAUGACAGUACCGGGAGAAUAAGCGCCGGCUAACUCCGUG